This 258-nucleotide ribosomal RNA is filed under the name uncultured bacterium. RNAcentral's name for it is "partial 16S ribosomal RNA". It matches the Rfam family "Bacterial small subunit ribosomal RNA", at positions 524 to 776 of the family's 1533-position model. The record is from RNAcentral.
GACAGAGGGUGCAAACGUUUGUUCGGAAUUACUGGGCGUAAAGCGAGUGUAGGCGGUUCGAUAAGUCGGAUGUGAAAGCCCCCGGGCUCAACCCGGGAAGUGCACUCGAUACUGUCGAGCUAGAGUAUCGGAGAGGUUGGUGGAAUUCUCGGUGUAGAGGUGAAAAUUCGUAGAUAUCGAGAGGAACACCGGUGGCGAAGGCGGCCAACUGGACGAAUACUGACGCUGAGACUCGAAAAGCUGGGGGAGCAAAACAGG